RNA transcript from Nomascus leucogenys (northern white-cheeked gibbon), 3060 nucleotides. It is a transcript of the gene named golgin subfamily A member 6C-like, with no coding region annotated. The transcript has 19 exons. The record is from RefSeq and is a predicted model, not a curated record. NCBI's taxonomy places the organism in Eukaryota, Metazoa, Chordata, Mammalia, Primates, Hylobatidae.
AUGUGGCCCCAACCCUACCUCCCUCCCCACCCCAUGAUGUUAGAAGAAACUCAAUAGAACAAAUUGGCAGCAGCCAAGAAAAAGCUAAAAGAAUAUCAGCAAAGGAAGAGCCCUGGUGUUCCAGCAGGAGCGAAAAGAAAAAAGAAAAAAAACUGGCAGUAGCCCUGAGAUUGUCUCAGCUUGCCACUCACCUGGGGAUAGCCAGUACCAAGAACUAGCAGUAGCCCUGAAGUCAAGCUCCGUGACAAUCAAUCAACUCAAUGAAAACAUAGAAUCAUUGAAACAGCAGAAGAAAGAAGUGGAACAUCAGCUGGAAGAAGCAAAGAAAGCAAACAAUGAAAUACACAAAGCACAAACAGAGCAGUUAGAGACAAUCAACAUCCUCAAGUUGGAAAAGGCAGACUUGAAGACCACCCUUUACCAUACUAAACGUGCUGCCCGACACUUUGAAGAAGAGUCCAAGGAUCUGGCUGGCCACCUGCAAUACUCCUUACAGCGUAUUCAAGAAUUGGAGCGGGCUCUCUCUGCUGUGUCUACACAGCAGCAGGAAGAAGACAGGUCCUCGAGCUGCAGUGAAGCGGUUCUCCAGUGGCGGUUACAGCAGACCAUAAAGGAGCGGGCGCUGCUGAACGCCCACGUAACACAGGUGACAGAGUCACUUAAACAAGUCCAUCUAGAGAGAGAUGAAUAUGCUCAGCAUAUAAAAGGAGAGAGGGCCCGGUGGCAGGAGAGGAUACAGAAAAUGUCGGUGGAGGCUCGCACAUUGAAGGAGGAGAAGAAGCGUGACAUACAUCAGAUAUAGGAGCUGGAGAGGAGCUUGUCCGAACUCAAAAACCAGAUGGCUGAGCCCCCAUCCCUGGCGCCCCUGGCAGUGACCUCUGUGGUGGAGCAGCUACAAGAUGAGGCCAAACACCUAAGGCAGGAGGUGGAGGGUCUGGAGGGAAAGCUCCGAUCCCAGGUGGAAAACAAUCAGGCCUUGAGUCUGCUGAGCAAGGAACAAAAGCAGAGGCUCCAGGAGCAGGAGAAGAGCCUCCGAGAGCAGGAGAGACUGUGUGAACAAAAGGAGACGCUACGGGAGCAGGGUGAGAGGCUGCGAAAGCAGGAGCAGAGGCUACACAAGCAGGAGGAGAGGCUGCGAAAGGAGGAGGAGAGGCUGCGAAAGGAGGAGGAGAGGCUGCGAAAGGAGGAGGAGAGGCUGUGAAAGCAGGAGAAGAGGCUGUGGGACCAGGAAGAGAGGCUGUGGGAGAAGGACGAGAGGCUACAGAAGCAGGAGGAGAGGCCGUGAAAGCAGGAGGAGAGACUCACGCUCUCCCAGAACCACAAGCUCAACAAGCAGCUGGCGGAGCCAUAGUGCAGCUUCGAGCAUCUGAACAAUGAGAACAAGAGCACACUGCAGUUGGAGCAGCAAGUAAAGGAGCUGCAGGAGAAGCUAGACAAGGAGCACCUAAAAGCUGCCAGCCAGCAGAACCAACAGCUGGAGACCCAGUUGAGCCUCAUGGCUCUCCCUGGAGAAGGAGAUGGAGGAGAACAUCUGGACAGUGAGGAGGAGGAGGCGCCUCAGCCCACGCCAAACAUCCCAGAGGACCUGGAGAGCCAGGAGGCCACGAGCAGCUUUAUGGACCUCCCGAAGGAGAAGGCAGACGGGAAGGAGCAGGUGGAGAAACUAGAGCUUGGAUUCAUCCAGCCCUCUGGAGCGACAGAUGGCAUAAGAGAGUCCUUCACCGUAUAUGAAAGCCAGGGGGCAGUGCCAAACACGUGGCACCAGGAGAUGGAGGAUGUCAUCAGGCUGGCCCAGAACGAGGAGAUGAAGGUGAAGCUGCUGGAGCUGCAAGAGCUGGUGUUGCCCCUUGUGGGCAAUCAUGAAGGGCAUGGCAAAUUCCUCACCGCUGCCCAGAACACUGCUGAUGAGCCCGCUCCAGGUGCCCCAGCCCCCCAGGAACUUGGGGCUGCCGGUGAGCAUGAUGAUUUUUAUGAGGUGAGCCUGGACAACAGCGUGAAGCCUGCACCAGGAGCGGCCAGGGAGGGUUCUCCCGAUGACAACCCCACUGCACAGCAGAUCGUGCAGCUGCUUCCUGUAAUGCAGGACACCCAGGAGCACCCAGGCUUGCCCAGCAAACCCUGCGUGCCAUUCUUUUACCAGGCAGCUGAGAACAGGGAGAUAAACAUCAUCAUCAUCUAAGAGCUGGUCAAGAAAUUUAAAACAACAACAACAAAAAGUUAUGGGGUUAAUCUCCUACACAAUUCAUUUACUCCAUUUGAAUGUUAGAGCCACUCACAUUUAUUUGUGUUUCUAAUUUACCGUUUAAAUUUAUUUGUAAAAAGUUAAGGGAGAGUUGGUCUUUCCCUGAUGUUCACUCUGGCAUCCUUUAGCAUUUUUGUUUUUAAUUUGAUAAUUGUAGGUCAUUAGCAUACAUAUCGAGUUUGCCCUUAGGUGGUGGGAAUUCAAACACACAAAGACCCACUAUUUGCACAAAACUAUUCUUACUGGUUUGGAACAGGCUGCCAUGCUUUUUUAAUGUUAUUGCAGCAUGUAUAUUCAUUACAGAAUUCAGAUAAAAUUUGCUUAUGUUCUGCUAUUACGUUUGAUCGAAUCCUAACCACAGUGAGCUCUUCAUUAGCUCAAUAUGUGGUUUGCCCUCAAAUGCGCACUGUUUAUUACUUUGUAAUAUGCCACUGUGAGUACUGACAUUUACAGUUGUUUAAAGGCCGAGAACUGGAAACAGCCUUUCCCCUAUUUUGUGUGUAUUGGGGAUGGGAGUAAUAACAUUUUGGGGAGCUUUUUAAAUCUCACAGAAGAGGAAAGUGGCCUGCUCUGGCAGGUGUGUGCAGGAUAGAGUGUGUUUCAUUUGUUCUGGUGCCAAGAAUGAGCGCUGUACUAUGGUAGUUCCCUUAGGAUUUGUAUGUGCUCUGGGAUCUUGAAGAUAUUGCAUCAUGAGCUGUAGCAGUUGUACCCUUUCUUGAUGACCUAAAAAGGGAUUAUUUCUGAGGAAUGAAAUGCUCCCAUCAUUGACUGUGGGUGGAUGUGGAAAACCUUUUCUAGCUUAGAGCAUUUAUAUCUAC